This 218-nucleotide non-coding RNA is filed under the name Alkalithermobacter thermoalcaliphilus. Its description in RNAcentral is "Clostridium paradoxum T-box sequence". It matches the Rfam family "T-box leader". Rfam says of the family: Uncharged tRNA acts as the effector for transcription antitermination of genes in the T-box leader family. T-boxes are found upstream of many aminoacyl-tRNA synthetase genes and some amino acid biosynthetic genes usually in Gram-positive bacteria. The record is from RNAcentral. Lineage: Bacteria; Bacillati; Bacillota; Clostridia; Peptostreptococcales; Tepidibacteraceae.
ACAAAAACUGUGAAAAGAACUAGUAAAUUAACUGAUUCUUAUAGAGAAGGGAUCCAAGGCUGGAAGAUUCCUAGAUAGGUUAAUUGAAGCUCUCUUGGAGUUGCAACUUUGAAUCAAGUAGGAGUUGCCGGAUUAUUUCCGUUACAAUAAGGUUUAACCUAAGAUGCUAAUUUUUAGCAAAUAGGGUGGUACCGCGAGAUUAAUCCCUCGUCCCUAUG